UACGAGGGGGGCAAGCGUUGUUCGGAAUUAUUGGGCGUAAAGGGUGCGUAGGCGGUGCGGUAAGUCUGUUGUGAAAUCUCCGGGCUCAACUCGGAGUCUGCAUCAGAAACUGCCGUGCUGGAGUGUGGGAGAGGUGAGUGGAAUUCCCGGUGUAGCGGUGAAAUGCGUAGAGAUCGGGAGGAACACCUGCGGCGAAAGCGGCUCACUGGACCAUAACUGACGCUGAUGCACGAAGGCUAGGGGAGCAAACAGG
This 253-nucleotide ribosomal RNA is filed under the name uncultured bacterium. RNAcentral's name for it is "partial 16S ribosomal RNA". It matches the Rfam family "Bacterial small subunit ribosomal RNA", at positions 524 to 776 of the family's 1533-position model. The record is from RNAcentral.